AUAUAAUUCCUAAGUUGAGUCUUCAUCCAAUACUGCAUCAAUAUGUUUAGGUGAGUUUUUUAUGGUUGGCACUUUUUCAUGGAAUAAGCUUUGCGAGUAAGGUUUCCAUGUUUGUCAGCGCCUCUAUGCUCAUGCCUUGCAGAAAUUUGGUGACAUUGGAUGUUUUGAUGUUAGUAGUAACUAUGAUUCUUUAACAUUCCCAUUCCCUCUUUUACCAAAAAAAAAAGUACUUGUUCAAAUGCAUCGACAAACUGUAUCAAAGCACACAUGCACCACAAUAUUAAUGGUUAAAUUUAAUGGGUCUUUCAAUGUGUUUCUGUAAUUUAUAUAAUGUUUCACUUUGAUCCCUGAAGUUUCAUGGUCUUCCACGUGUUCUUAAUUAAUGCUCUUCUAAUAAUUGCAAUGUGUUGAAUGGUCAUAGGAAAUGACAGAUCAGGAAUGGAAAAAUGGGAAUCAAGUUUUCAUUUUCUUUCUUGGGUUUUUGGGUUGCAUUUUAUGAGAAAUCAGGAAUAAAUGAGUCUCUCUUACCUGAUUUUCAUCUUUAAAUCUAGUUGUUACGAUUAGAAAUUGGAAAUGGUAAUGGGCCUUCAUUUGCAUUCCUACUCUUCUUCUCGUACUUGAUCCCUGCAUAGCAUACGCAUUGGUAUACUAAAUCAACUGCUAUAUAUAAAACAAGGAAAAGGAAAAAAGGCUUUAAACAUUGGAAAAGGGAGAUUCUGGUAGUACCCAGAAUUGGUGAACUGAGGGAGGCUUCUGGAACUGGCUUGAAGAAGAAAGUGAAAAGUGGAAUUUUAGAAUAGAGUCUUGCAUGACAUUGGUCGGAUGAUUACUUGGUGGAGGCAGUGCCAGACAAAUCAUACCCUUCCCAGGUAUUGGUGGUGUUUUAUUCAAAAUGCUGCUGCAUAGGGCCUCCUGAUCAAUUUUUGGCGUUGAAGCUUGUUGCUUUGCCCAAUGUUUGUCUUGAUAAUGAUCUUGUUGAUGAGGGAUCAAAUUGGUUGAUGAGUGGUCAAUGGGAAUUGGGUUUAAUUUGGCUUGAGGGAUGGUCUGCACAUGAAUCAUACUUGUAAUCACAGAACUAGAUGAUUCUGUUGAAGUAUAUUCUUUUUGCUCUCGUAAUUAUUUAAUUUUAGAGCUUUUUGUCCUCCUCUGUUGCUAUUAAGCUCUUAAGAAAUGUAAUUAAUGCAUUUGGACAACCCAUAAAUGCAGGGACCAAGCUUUGGAAAACCCCCUAAAUUGAGUCAGCUUAGAUUUAACAAGUAAAAUAUGAUUUGGAUCCAGA
RNAcentral lists this unclassified non-coding RNA (1279 nucleotides) under Hevea brasiliensis (rubber tree). Lineage: Eukaryota; Viridiplantae; Streptophyta; Magnoliopsida; Malpighiales; Euphorbiaceae. The record is from RNAcentral.